GACAGAGGGUGCAAGCGUUGUUCGGAUUUACUGGGCGUAAAGCGCGUGUAGGCGGCUUUGCAAGUCGGAUGUGAAAGCCCACGGCUCAACCGUGGAAGUGCAUCCGAAACUGCAUGGCUUGAGUCUCGGAGAGGAAGGUGGAAUGCUUGGUGUAGAGGUGAAAUUCGUAGAUAUCAAGCAGAACACCUGCGGCGAAGGCGGCCUUCUGGACGAUGACUGACGCUGAGACGCGAAAGCGUGGGGAGCAAACAGG
RNAcentral lists this ribosomal RNA (253 nucleotides) under uncultured bacterium. RNAcentral describes it as "partial 16S ribosomal RNA". It matches the Rfam family "Bacterial small subunit ribosomal RNA", at positions 524 to 776 of the family's 1533-position model. The record is from RNAcentral.